RNAcentral lists this ribosomal RNA (999 nucleotides) under Micrococcus sp. RNAcentral describes it as "bacterial SSU rRNA". It matches the Rfam family "Bacterial small subunit ribosomal RNA", at positions 35 to 1051 of the family's 1533-position model. Lineage: Bacteria; Bacillati; Actinomycetota; Actinomycetes; Micrococcales; Micrococcaceae. The record is from RNAcentral.
GCUGGCGCGUGCUUACCAUGCAGUCGAACGAUGAAGCCCAGCUUGCUGGGUGGAUUAGUGGCGAACGGGUGAGUAACACGUGAGUAACCUGCCCUUGACUCUGGGAUAAGCCUGGGAAACUGGGUCUAAUACCGGAUAGGAACGUCCACCGCAUGGUGGUUGUUGGAAAGAUUUAUCGGUCAUGGAUGGACUCGCGGCCUAUCAGCUUGUUGGUGAGGUAAUGGCUCACCAAGGCGACGACGGGUAGCCGGCCUGAGAGGGUGACCGGCCACACUGGGACUGAGACACGGCCCAGACUCCUACGGGAGGCAGCAGUGGGGAUUAUUGCACAAUGGGCGAAAGCCUGAUGCAGCGACGCCGCGUGAGGGAUGACGGCCUUCGGGUUGUAAACCUCUUUCAGUAGGGAAGAAGCGAAAGUGACGGUACCUGCAGAAGAAGCACCGGCUAACUACGUGCCAGCAGCCGCGGUAAUACGUAGGGUGCGAGCGUUAUCCGGAAUUAUUGGGCGUAAAGAGCUCGUAGGCGGUUUGUCGCGUCUGUCGUGAAAGUCCGGGGCUUAACCCCGGAUCUGCGGUGGGUACGGGCAGACUAGAGUGCAGUAGGGGAGACUGGAAUUCCUGGUGUAGCGGUGGAAUGCGCAGAUAUCAGGAGGAACACCGAUGGCGAAGGCAGGUCUCUGGGCUGUAACUGACGCUGAGGAGCGAAAGCAUGGGGAGCGAACAGGAUUAGAUACCCUGGUAGUCCAUGCCGUAAACGUUGGGCACUAGGUGUGGGGACCAUUCCACGGUUUCCGCGCCGCAGCUAACGCAUUAAGUGCCCCGCCUGGGGAGUACGGCCGCAAGGCUAAAACUCAAAGGAAUUGACGGGGGCCCGCACAAGCGGCGGAGCAUGCGGAUUAAUUCGAUGCAACGCGAAGAACCUUACCAAGGCUUGACAUGUUCUCGAUCGCCGUAAAGAUACGGUUCCCCUUUGGGGCGGGAUCCAGGGUGGUGCUGGUUG